This 297-nucleotide ribosomal RNA is filed under the name uncultured bacterium. RNAcentral's name for it is "partial 16S ribosomal RNA". It matches the Rfam family "Bacterial small subunit ribosomal RNA", at positions 524 to 776 of the family's 1533-position model. The record is from RNAcentral.
UACGUAGGGGGCGAGCGUUGUCCGAAGUUACUGGGCGUAAAGCGCACGUAGGCGGCUUUGUAAGUUACAUCUAAAAGGUGAGAGCUCAACUCUCAGAUGUGGUGUAAGACUGCAGGGCUUGAGGCAAGCAAAAGAGUGUGGAACUCCGAGUGUAGCGGUGGAAUGCGUAGAGAUUCGGAAGAACACCCAAGGCGAAGGCAGCACUCUGGGCUUGAAAGUCUAUGAAACUUGAGGAGCAAUCUUCAAGGGCCAUAGACAACCUGACGCUGAGGAGCGAAAGCCAGGGGAGCAAACGGG